RNAcentral lists this ribosomal RNA (254 nucleotides) under uncultured bacterium. RNAcentral's name for it is "partial 16S ribosomal RNA". It matches the Rfam family "Bacterial small subunit ribosomal RNA", at positions 524 to 776 of the family's 1533-position model. The record is from RNAcentral.
GACAGAGGGGGCAAGCGUUGUUCGGAUUUACUGGGCGUAAAGGGCGCGUAGGCGGCCACCGCAAGUCGACUGUGAAAUCUCCGGGCUUAACCCGGAAAGGUCAGCCGAUACUGCGGGGCUAGAGUGCAGAAGGGGCAACUGGAAUUCUCGGUGUAGCGGUGAAAUGCGUAGAUAUCGAGAGGAACACCUGCGGCGAAGGCGGGUUGCUGGGCUGACACUGACGCUGAGGCGCGAAAGCCAGGGGAGCAAACGGG